AACAGAACUGACAUCAUGAGUAAGUGGCACGGGUGAGUACACGUGACUAACCUACCUCCGAGUGGGGAAUACUCCGGGACAACGGGGCUAAUACCGCAUAACAUCUCAAGAUCAAAGCAUCAAUGCGCUUGGAGAGGGGGUCGCGGCUGAUAAGCUCGUUGGCGGGGUAACGGCCCACCAAUGCGAAGAUCGGUAUCCGGCCUGAGAGGGCGCACGGACACACUGGAACUGAAACACUGUCCAGACUCCUACGGGAUGCAUCAGUAUGGAAUUUUGCGCAAUGGGGGAAACCCUGAUUCAGCAACGCCGCGUGGAUGAUGAAGCCCUUUGGGGCGUAAACUCCUUUCGACUCGGACGAUAAUGACUGUACGAGUGGAAUAAGCACCGGCUAACUCUGUGCCAUCAUCCGCGGUAA
Molecule: ribosomal RNA, 415 nt
Filed under: uncultured bacterium
Lineage: Bacteria
Description: bacterial SSU rRNA
Rfam family: Bacterial small subunit ribosomal RNA
Source: RNAcentral